GGCCCUAUAGUCAAGUGGUUAAGACACCGCCCUUUCAAGGCGGUAACGGGGGUUCAAAUCCCCCUAGGGUCACCA
RNAcentral lists this transfer RNA (75 nucleotides) under Bacillota bacterium. RNAcentral describes it as "tRNA-Glu". It matches the Rfam family "tRNA". Rfam says of the family: Transfer RNA (tRNA) molecules are approximately 80 nucleotides in length. The record is from RNAcentral. Lineage: Bacteria; Bacillati; Bacillota.